RNAcentral lists this non-coding RNA (47 nucleotides) under Alcaligenes sp. Its description in RNAcentral is "Guanidine-II sequence". It matches the Rfam family "Guanidine-II riboswitch aptamer (mini-ykkC)". Rfam says of the family: Simpler in structure and has fewer highly conserved nucleotide positions than the ykkC-yxkD leader. RNAcentral also lists the same sequence under 2 other names. Lineage: Bacteria; Pseudomonadati; Pseudomonadota; Betaproteobacteria; Burkholderiales; Alcaligenaceae. The record is from RNAcentral.
GAUCCGGGACGACCUGGAUCUGCCUUUUCAGUACAGGGACGGCCCUA